Non-coding RNA from Chelonoidis abingdonii (Abingdon island giant tortoise), 1186 nucleotides. The record is from RefSeq and is a predicted model, not a curated record. Lineage: Eukaryota; Metazoa; Chordata; Testudines; Testudinidae.
UGCCCAACACCCCUGGAAAGUCAUGGGAGAAUGGGGAGCAUAACCCAGGACAAUCUGGUGGCUCAGUGUUUUCUUCUAGAAUUAAAACACAUUUCCCUGCCAUGAUGGAAACUCCAGCACAAAAGUCUGUGCUAGGGCUUGAGAACCAGACAAUGAAAUGUGACCACAGGAAGUGAAGAGAAUUAAAUAAACUAGAAGAAUUUCCCUGCCCAAACUGAGGAGAAGGCAAAUGUUAAAAGAGAAGGAACCAGCAAAAAUGGUGAACACUGAAUUUUAUUUUAUUUUUUAAUUAUUUGAAUUCUUUCAUCCCAGGGACACAAUUGGUAAAAAAUACAUAAUGGGACUUCUCUGCAUAACCUCCUUCUGACCACAUUAUAAAUCAUAGUCAUCCAUGUGGGUACCUCUCUAGCAUGUUACUAUACUAAUUGCUCAUCCUGUUUUAAAAAUUAGUCUCAAUUUUUCACUAUUGUCACUAUUGGAGUGAUCAACAGGACAUGAUAUUCACAUUUUCCAACUGCAACUAUUCAUCAGCUACAGUAUGUAUAUAAAGACCUGGAAAUAAACAAUGAGUUAAGGUUUCAUUUUCUCAGAGCAUUCUAGCUCCUGUGGUUUCACAGAAGGAAAAUACCAAUGGUUUGUGCUGUCUACAUUUUAAAUGUGCCUUCUAAAUUGGAAGAAAUGGUUAAAGUUGAGAUUUGCCAAUAUUUUUGGCAGGACUAACUCUUUCCUCCCAUAUUUACUUCCUCCAUGUCUAGCAACCUUUAAAUAUUCCUAAACUAUUUCUGUCUCUUAAAUGAAGGAGUUUAUGAAUAGGAAGUGCACCGGCUGAUGACUUUGAGGUCUUUUCUGUACCAUUUUGGAAUUGUGGAUGAUCUUCUUAUAUUACAAAAAUUAAUGUAUGAUAAAAAGGCUGUAUGUGUGUGGAUCCAACAUGAGUUAGCAGGGUUGUGUACUGUCAUGGGUGGUCACUUCCACGAAAAAGGAGGAGGAAACGUAGUAAAAACUAGAAAACAGCAAGAAAAACAGAAAGAAAAACUCUGAAACCUCCAAGAAGGAAAAGGUUGUAAACAGAAAAAGAUCAAAGAAACAUUCUCCAACCAAAUACUUAAAUUCAGAGACAUGAAGGAAAGACACAACAAUCUACAUAGGAGCCUCAACAAACUCCAGGCUCAAGGUUCCACACAAA